This 253-nucleotide ribosomal RNA is filed under the name uncultured bacterium. Its description in RNAcentral is "partial 16S ribosomal RNA". It matches the Rfam family "Bacterial small subunit ribosomal RNA", at positions 524 to 776 of the family's 1533-position model. The record is from RNAcentral.
UACGUAGGGUGCAAGCGUUGUCCGGAAUUAUUGGGCGUAAAGAGCUCGUAGGCGGUCUGUUGCGUCGGCUGUGAAAACCCGAGGCUCAACCUCGGGCCUGCAGCCGAUACGGGCAGACUAGAGUUCGGCAGGGGAGACUGGAAUUCCUGGUGUAGCGGUGAAAUGCGCAGAUAUCAGGAGGAACACCGGUGGCGAAGGCGGGUCUCUGGGCAACAACUGACGCUGAGGUGCGAAAGCGUGGGGAGCAAACAGG